This is a long non-coding RNA of Branchiostoma floridae (Florida lancelet), 213 nucleotides long. RefSeq lists it as uncharacterized. Lineage: Eukaryota; Metazoa; Chordata; Leptocardii; Amphioxiformes; Branchiostomatidae. The transcript is spliced from 3 exons. The record is from RefSeq and is a predicted model, not a curated record.
CAGGACUGUAUCAACAUGGCUCAGGCGCAGCUGGACACAGAUAUGCAACUGGAACACGCCUCCCAGAGCUUCUUGAGAGAAGCCCUGAAUCCUGGAGAGAAUAUUCUCUACAGAAGACGACUGUGGGUUCUCUUCAUGAGAUCGUUGUGGGAAAGAUACGUGACCCCGCGUGAAGUGGCUGCAAGGCUAGCGCCUCUUCAGCGACACAUGGAC